Molecule: ribosomal RNA, 1072 nt
Filed under: Pseudophaeomoniella oleicola
Lineage: Eukaryota; Fungi; Ascomycota; Eurotiomycetes; Phaeomoniellales; Phaeomoniellaceae
Description: eukaryotic LSU rRNA
Rfam family: 5.8S ribosomal RNA (bases 683-836)
Source: RNAcentral
UCCGUAGCAUAAGUCUCGGGACAAGAUUGUAAAUGAUCUUUUCCGUAGGUGAACACUUACCGAAGCCUUAGCUCCCCGAAAGGGUUGAAUCUCACGACUGUAAACAACGAAGAUUUUGUAAUAGCUAGUCUAUGGGCCGCCGCAUCAGGGGCCCGAUAGGCGACACUAUCAAAUUGCGGGAACACCCUAAAGAUCUUGACACCAAGCGCAGUCGGGAAACCGCUGCGUGGCCGAGCUAACAGCCCUGGGUAUGGUAACAGUUCAAGAUAUGAUCGGGGAGAGCAGUCUCCCGGUGAAAUGGGCAAUCCGCAGCCAAGUCCUAACGCUGAUGGUUUUCAGAAGCUACGGAUGCUGUUCACAGGCCAAAUGGUAGUGGGUAAAACCCGGUCCUUUGACGGUUUUGCUUAAGAUAUGGUCGGUCCUCUUGCGAAAGCUCGGGGGUAAGUUUCACCAAGAAAUUUUGAUAACGUUCCGUAGGUGAACCUUCGGAAGGAUCAUUACUGAGUUAGGGUCCUCUGGGCCCGACCUCCAACCCUUUGUCUAUAAACCUUUGUUGCUUUGGCAGGCCCGUCCUUCGGGACCGCCGGGGGUGUUCAGUCACCUCUGGCCCGCGCUUGCCAAUAGCCUAUUCAAAAUCCUUUUUUAACCAUGAAGUCUGAGAAUUAAUUAUAAAUAUAAUUAAAACUUUCAACAACGGAUCUCUUGGUUCUGGCAUCGAUGAAGAACGCAGCGAAAUGCGAUAAGUAAUGUGAAUUGCAGAAUUCAGUGAAUCAUCGAAUCUUUGAACGCACAUUGCGCCCUUUGGUAUUCCGAAGGGCAUGCCUGUUCGAGCGUCAUUAUCAACCAUCAAGCCCGGCUUGUUAUUGGGUUCCCGUAUCGUUAAAGAUAGGCCCGAAAGAUAAUGGCGGCGUCCAGAAUGACCCCAGAUGCAGCGAGCUUUAAGCAUACAUCGAGGUGGUGUUCUUGGCCUGGCCUUUUGAAAUUUCAUUCUUAUGGAUUUCAUUUUUUCUAAGGUUGACCUCGGAUCAGGUAGGAAUACCCGCUGAACUUAAGCAUAUCAAUAAGCGGAGGA